AACUAGUAGGAAUUAUUCAUUUCCAAGUCCAUAAUUAACUAACUUCCGAUCAUAUAUAAAGUUACUGAAAUUAAAUUCAAAAUCCCUUAUUCCAAAAACGAAUCCGUAUACCGUAUGCAGUCAUUUUUUCUUUUUAACUUUCCGGGCCCACCGAGAGCCAUUAAUUUGAUGUAAUUAAUUAACACCCUAAGGUAAAAAUUAAGGGAUCAUGUCCAGAGUGGGUCCCACGACGCGGUCAAAUUGUUGUCUUCCAGAAAACAUGAUGUGUCCAUCGACUGCAGCUGGUACUGCCCGUUGGGGAAGAAUAUGGAUGGUGGCUCCUCAGCAUGAGACGACGCCGUUUGAAUCAUCUCCAUGUAAAAUCCCACCAAGCUGGCUUGCUGAGAUUGCAUAUUCACAACCUCGGCUCGCGCCUUGGCGA
This 421-nucleotide long non-coding RNA is filed under the name Linum usitatissimum (flax). RNAcentral describes it as "long non-coding RNA (LUSI_LNC001507)". The record is from RNAcentral. Lineage: Eukaryota; Viridiplantae; Streptophyta; Magnoliopsida; Malpighiales; Linaceae.